Molecule: ribosomal RNA, 269 nt
Filed under: uncultured bacterium
Lineage: Bacteria
Description: partial 16S ribosomal RNA
Source: RNAcentral
GCUGCUGCCUCCCGUAGGAGUUUGGACCGUGUCUCAGUUCCAAUGUGGGGGACCUUCCUCUCAGAACCCCUAUCCAUCGUCGUCUUGGUGGGCCGUUACCCCGCCAACUAACUAAUGGAACGCAUCCCCAUCGAUAACCGAAAUUCUUUAAUAUCAAGAUCAUGCGACCUUGAUAUCCUAUCGGAUAUUAAUCUUUCUUUCGAAAGGCUAUCCCCGAGUUAUCGGCAGGUUGGAUACGUGUUACUCACCCGUGCGCCGGUCGCCAUCGG